AGGAUGAACGCUGGCGGCGUGCCUAAUACAUGCAAGUCGAGCGGUAACAGGCUCUCACAGUUCGCUUAAGCUCUGCGGUGCUUCUGUUUACAGAGAUACCAAGGAAGGCAAAAUCACACGGAAGGGCCGGCUAGCCUGAAAGAGUGAUGGAGUUAUUAAGCGCCACUGUGAGAGUGCUGACGAGCGGCGGACGGCUGAGUAACACGUAGGAACGUACCCCAAAGUGAGGGAUAAGCAUUGGAAACAGUGUCUAAUACCGCAUGUGAUCUUCGGAUUAAAGCUUUAUGCGCUUUGGGAACGGCCUGCGUAUGAUUAAUUUGUUGGUGAGGUAAUGGCUCACCAAGACUACGAUCAUUAGCUGGUCUGAGAGGAUGAUCAGCCAGACUGGGACUGAGACACGGCCCAGACUCCUACGGGAGGCGAGCAGUAGGGAAUUUUCCACAAUGGCGAAAGCCUGAUGGAGCAACGCCGCGG
RNAcentral lists this ribosomal RNA (474 nucleotides) under uncultured bacterium. Its description in RNAcentral is "SSU rRNA". It matches the Rfam family "Bacterial small subunit ribosomal RNA", at positions 26 to 402 of the family's 1533-position model. The record is from RNAcentral.